Molecule: non-coding RNA, 161 nt
Organism: Sturnus vulgaris (Common starling)
Lineage: Eukaryota; Metazoa; Chordata; Aves; Passeriformes; Sturnidae
Source: RefSeq, a predicted model, not a curated record
UUGCUAUUGAUGUUUGUUGCCUUGUGUUCCAGCCUUCUGAUAGUUGACAGAUUCUUUUACACUUUCUCACACUCUUUCUUCUAAACAAUGAUUGUUUUGCAUUCCUCUUUAGAGGAAGAGAGAAUUGAUGGACUGUUGAUGAGACCUAUGGAGUCAGGAGG